Molecule: unclassified non-coding RNA, 250 nt
Filed under: plant metagenome
Description: partial contains small subunit ribosomal RNA, internal transcribed spacer 1, and 5.8S ribosomal RNA
Source: RNAcentral
GUAGGUGAACCUGCGGAAGGAUCAUUAACACAUCUCUUUUUUUCUCUCUCUUUCGAGAGGGAAAGAAAUUUACCCCACUUUGGAUGAAUUUUAUUGCUGGAGGGUUGCUUUGUGUUGCAUUCUUUCUUCAAGAUAGAAUCUUCACAGUGCAAUUCCUUUUGCAAACUUUAUUACCCCAUCAUUUUAAACCCAAACCAUUUUAUUACUGUCAUACAUUGGACUGAUAUGAAAAUCUGUUUUCAUGGUUUCA